This is a long non-coding RNA of Haplochromis burtoni (Burton's mouthbrooder), 2468 nucleotides long. RefSeq lists it as uncharacterized. The record is from RefSeq and is a predicted model, not a curated record. The transcript is spliced from 3 exons. NCBI's taxonomy places the organism in Eukaryota, Metazoa, Chordata, Actinopteri, Cichliformes, Cichlidae.
AGAGCAGAGGUAUGAUAGGCAGGGGAUGUGGUACGAUGUGCUGGAAGUGACCUUGGAUCCUCAAUCGAGACCCUUUCCAGGUACCAGGGUAGAGCAGUGCCUACUCUGAGUGAUCCAAUCUUCAAGGCUGUGUUUAACGUCAUGUUAUGCUGAAAAACAGCCUUAUGAAGACCAAACAGGUUCAGGGUGGUGCAGCUCAAUGAAGAUGAGGUAAACACCUGCUCCCACUGCGCCACCCACCAUGGGCCCUACCACAGGAAUCCACCACCAGCAGCCUCCAGCUCUGCAGACAGGGGACAUACGCAGAGAUUAUGAUGUCACAAAAACACAGCCCCAAACGUAUCUGGUCUUAUUAAGGAUUUAAAAUAAUUCAUCUUUGCGUCAAUUUAACCAUGGAAAGUGUUUCUCAGUGGCUCUGAAGGUGCUUUGACAAAUAAACAAAAACUAGUGACUUGUUUGCUUAUUGCACAGUCCUAAAAAACAAACAAACUAGGAUCAUGAAGUAAAAAGUUUACCAUACAGAGAGAGGCUGAUGUUAGAUUCAUGCCGAGGAAUCACUAACAAGAGUGAAAUUCUAAUAUUUUUAUUUAUACUCUAAUAAACGGGAUAAUCAUUAAGACAGACAGCUGACGGAAAUGUCUUGUUAGGAUUUUAAAAAACACUACAAACAAUACGAAAAUAUUACAUUUAUGUUUUGGUUUCAAAGAGUAGUUUUAUGUUGAUUUGCUAGAACUGAGCAGGAACCUCCAGUGCUGAAAAAUGUAACAAAAACUGUAGUUCCUCCAGUGGCCACUUGAGGCCAGCUCCAAAAGUGAGUUAAAAUCAUUCUUCUAAUGCUCGACAUAGCCAUCGUCACAUCAGGAAUAAACAAAGUUAUGACCUGAUACAAAAAAUUGUGUUUUUUACAACUCUGACUUCACUUUGAGUUUCAAAGGUUGGUGCCAGUAGAGUAUGAGUUACUUCAUGGCUAGGUUUGUAGAGUGUGUUGGACAAACAAUAUGACUAACAUUAUUGUUAAUUAUACCUGUAGACUGCCCAAGAAACCUGAGUGCCAGUUUUGAGUUAAAUUCUAGUGGUUUUUGUUUUUCAAAUUAAUGUUACUUAGCCCUAACUAGCAGAUAUCUCAUUCUGUGAAAUGCAACUAGCUAGCAUUAUCUGAUAACUUAGAUGUAGCUUCUGGGUCCGAAAACAGGAGCCAGUACCCUAAACUUGCAUUCCUUUUAAUGGCCAUCAGGGGGCGAAAGCUAUAUUUGCAGAAUGACUCACAGUCCAAUAGAUGUCUCUCUACUGGGACCACAGUAAAUACUUUACUGUUGAGUUUAUGGUCUUUGGAAGUAUUUUCUGGUUAUACUGUAUAAAGCAUUGAGUCCAUUUUGUAAUGUUUUAUAACUUUAAGUUUCAGAAAGGAGGAUUAUCCAGGAAAUAUUCAUUAGCUGGCAACUUAACAACUUAUGAGCCAAAAACAAGUCAACAGCUAAUAAGCAUAUGGCUUCAAAGUCAGACAUACCCCUCAUUGUCUCAUCUCAAAAUGGCUCAAAAUGGGACUUCAUCAGCUCUGUCCAUCUUUUACAUACAGUCUGUGGCUAAAACCUGAAGAGUCCGUCUCCGUCCUAAGAUAAUUAAACCUACCUACCACCACCUUCAAUGCUCAGUAGGUAACAUGUUUUAUCCCCAUUUUAUUGAUCUAAGGAUUUGCAGGUUUAUUGGUGAUAUUGUGGCCGAUUAAUCUGUCCACAUCACAGUGGGUUCAUGGAUGAUACUGCUAUGCUAAUAUAAGCAAUUAUGGUGUAACUAGCUGCUAGGAUUGCCUUUAUUUCAGACAUAGAUGGUGUUUAUUACUUGCCUUUGGCUGAUGAGUCUCUUGUGUUUGUCCAUCUCGCACUGACACAUGCUGACACAUGUGAGAUGGUUUAUGUUGUUGUUGUUUUUAACAUUUUGAGUUAAAAAAAACAAACCCAGAUGGAUCAGAUGGGAAUGAAGAUUAUAGUCAUAAUGCCUCAGAUAGGCAGAUAUGCUAGCUAUAUUUUUGAAUCAAAAUUGCAACUUGGAUGUUGUUUUAAAUGCUAUAAAAAAUAAAAGACUGCAAACAUGGCACAAAUGCAGCACAAUUAAUGUUGUAUUAUUAUUUUUUCUUUUGUAUGAUCUCUAAUUUUAUUAAUUAAUUAGGUAGGUUAAUUAGUAGGUUUAAAAGAUAUAUUGUGAACUGCUUCACUAGUCUCUUUGUUUAUGUUAGUAUCCUCCUACCGGAGACAAGUUAUCCCAGAUUACAUUAAAGACUAAGAAGCUCUGUUUGUUGGACCAGCUGCUUGUGUCCUCAUUUUCACUCUGCCCCCCCGCAAAGACUCUUUUACUUAGAAGAGGGAGUUAGAGUCUUGUGGGUUAAUGUAGCAAUAGGUGAAAGGGCUUCAAUUAAAAGAGCAGGCCUGAAAGUAAACAAGGUCCAGCAGACAUUCAGGAAGUAGACUUGA